AGCCGAAACAGCCGAUAAGCUCGGCUGUCUGCCGGAAACGGUCUACCGGCACUGAUGAUGGCAGACCGAG
This 70-nucleotide non-coding RNA is filed under the name Ruminococcus sp. The record is from RNAcentral. Lineage: Bacteria; Bacillati; Bacillota; Clostridia; Eubacteriales; Oscillospiraceae.